GACGUAGGGCGCGAGCGUUGUCCGGAUUUAUUGGGCGUAAAGAGCUCGUAGGCGGCUUGUUGCGUCGACUGUGAAAACCCGCGGCUUAACUGCGGGCUUGCAGUUGAUACGGGCAGGCUAGAGUUCGGUAGGGGAGACUGGAAUUCCUGGUGUAGCGGUGAAAUGCGCAGAUAUCAGGAGGAACACCGGUGGCGAAGGCGGGUCUCUGGGCCGAUACUGACGCUGAGGAGCGAAAGCUAGGGGAGCAAACGGG
Molecule: ribosomal RNA, 253 nt
Filed under: uncultured bacterium
Lineage: Bacteria
Description: partial 16S ribosomal RNA
Rfam family: Bacterial small subunit ribosomal RNA
Source: RNAcentral